GGGGACACCAUUUGCAUUGUAAUCUUUGUGAAUGUGUCUCCCCAACUCGAAUAAUGGGAAUGGUGCCAUUGGAGUUUUGCAACAUGGCCUUGAGUCCUAAGGUCACUUUAAUAUCAAAAUCAUAGUUUUAAUUCAGUAUUUAGAUAUGUUUCAUCUCAUAUAUUGAAGAAUACAUUACUUUUCAUUCAGUUAGGACUUUUCCUCCCCACCCCGCCUUCAUUCCAGGGCCUGGCAGGAGACACACCAUACUGUAAACCUUAUUGCUCAGCCCUUAGGGCUGUGCAGUUGGGAGGAGGGCUAGAGGCGGCCCGUCUGAUUGAUCUGGCCCUCAGUCUAACUCUCCACUCAUAGCAGUGCCUCAUCUUCAGUCGGUUCCUCCCAGUGCCCCUGGGAUUCUGCCUUGUGGCAGUUAUCACAAAACCCCUUACUCCUAGGUUGGCUUCCACCCUCUCAGACUCUCCUGUUGGAAAGUGAAAGUGAAGUCGCUCAGUCGUGUCCAACUUUUUGUGACCCAUGGACUGUAGCCCACCAAGCUUCUCUGUCCAUGGGAUUCUCCAGGCAAGAAGACUGGAGUGGGUUGCCAUUUUCUUCUCCAGGGAAUCUUCCCGACCCAGGGAUCAAACCCAGGUCUCCCACAUCGCAGGCAGACACUUGAACCUCUGCACCACCAGGGAAGCCCUUAAAUACGAGAAUACAGUCUCUCAGAAAACCUUCUAUAGAGACACAGAACUUCAGAUCCAAGUACUAACACCAAAGAUUUUAAAGGGAGGAAAGGAAGCCAGGUUGAAAGAAGAAGGGGGAGGAGGUGGGAGGGGGGGGCGAAAGGGGUGGCCUUACAGUCUCCUGCCACCUACAGAUACCCAGGCGUUACGGGACUUUUCCCUGGGCCUCCAGAGAAGGGAGGACUGGAACUCGGCCGUACCAGAAAUCAGACCAGACCAGAACCAGAAUUCGAGUUCUCUGCCAAGAGGAGGUGAUCAGUCUCCAAUCCUCAGCUCAGGCUGAGGGCCCUUUGACCAGAUUCCUGCGUCCAGGACCGGGGGACUAGAAAAACGGGGAAGGAUAGGAAGGGUUAAGGAGAGGAAAGAGAGAGGGAAGUGGAGAGAGGUCAAUAAAGUCUCUUGUUUCCUUACCCGGUCGGGGCAGUCUGGCCAGUUGUCCACGUCAGGAGGAGACCAGGGACAAAAGGGUCCCAGUUGCAGCCGCUGGGUCUGGUCCAUUGGCAGGCAAGCUGGCCCCUGAGUACCCCGAGUGAUCAGGAUGUCAGUCUCAGCAAAGAAGAGUCCCCACCAGAGUCGCCAUUUGUUGCAGGAAGGCGGACCCCUUCCAGGGCCUGAAACUGGGCUCUUGUCUAACGCUCAGAAAUGAAUUGUCCGAGGAGACACAUAUGCUGACAAAGCAAGAGACUUUAUUGGGAAAGGGCACCCGGGUGGAGAGCAGUAGGGUAAGGGAACCCAGGAGAACUGCUCUGCUGCGUGGCUUACAAUGAGAGGAUACCUUUUUAAAUGACCCCGGGGCGGAUACUAGUUUUCAUCUAGUCCCUAGAAUUCCCAUACUUCUGACCCAUUGCUAGAGGAGAGAGCAGGACCUUCUGAGUCACCCAUGUGUGUCUGCUCUCCUAGCUUGCUGUAGCAGGUACAGGAGAGGGUCAGAUAUUAUUACCUUGUGCUUGUCAGUUGGGACUGGGACUGCAGUGAAGCUGCUGAGGCAGUCACCCUGAGUGCAAGAUUACAGCGGGUGCCAAAAAACUCAGCAAUUAAGAUAAACUAUUGUAAUGAAAUAUUUUAAAAAUAAAUAUUAAUGCAAAAAACCAUGAUGAGCAAGGUAUCAAAACUAUGACUAAAGACAGGAUUAGAGC
Molecule: long non-coding RNA, 1858 nt
Organism: Bos taurus (domestic cattle)
Lineage: Eukaryota; Metazoa; Chordata; Mammalia; Artiodactyla; Bovidae
Source: Ensembl